Molecule: ribosomal RNA, 1544 nt
Filed under: Escherichia coli
Lineage: Bacteria; Pseudomonadati; Pseudomonadota; Gammaproteobacteria; Enterobacterales; Enterobacteriaceae
Description: bacterial SSU rRNA
Rfam family: Bacterial small subunit ribosomal RNA
Source: RNAcentral
AAAUUGAAGAGUUUGAUCAUGGCUCAGAUUGAACGCUGGCGGCAGGCCUAACACAUGCAAGUCGAACGGUAACAGGAAACAGCUUGCUGUUUCGCUGACGAGUGGCGGACGGGUGAGUAAUGUCUGGGAAACUGCCUGAUGGAGGGGGAUAACUACUGGAAACGGUAGCUAAUACCGCAUAACGUCGCAAGACCAAAGAGGGGGACCCUCGGGCCUCUUGCCAUCGGAUGUGCCCAGAUGGGAUUAGCUUGUUGGUGGGGUAACGGCUCACCAAGGCGACGAUCCCUAGCUGGUCUGAGAGGAUGACCAGCCACACUGGAACUGAGACACGGUCCAGACUCCUACGGGAGGCAGCAGUGGGGAAUAUUGCACAAUGGGCGCAAGCCUGAUGCAGCCAUGCCGCGUGUAUGAAGAAGGCCUUCGGGUUGUAAAGUACUUUCAGCGGGGAGGAAGGGAGUAAAGUUAAUACCUUUGCUCAUUGACGUUACCCGCAGAAGAAGCACCGGCUAACUCCGUGCCAGCAGCCGCGGUAAUACGGAGGGUGCAAGCGUUAAUCGGAAUUACUGGGCGUAAAGCGCACGCAGGCGGUUUGUUAAGUCAGAUGUGAAAUCCCCGGGCUCAACCUGGGAACUGCAUCUGAUACUGGCAAGCUUGAGUCUCGUAGAGGGGGGUAGAAUUCCAGGUGUAGCGGUGAAAUGCGUAGAGAUCUGGAGGAAUACCGGUGGCGAAGGCGGCCCCCUGGACGAAGACUGACGCUCAGGUGCGAAAGCGUGGGGAGCAAACAGGAUUAGAUACCCUGGUAGUCCACGCCGUAAACGAUGUCGACUUGGAGGUUGUGCCCUUGAGGCGUGGCUUCCGGAGCUAACGCGUUAAGUCGACCGCCUGGGGAGUAUGGCGCAGCAAGGUUAAAACUCAAAUGAAUUGACGGGGGCCCGCACAAGCGGUGGAGCAUGUGGUUUAAUUCGAUGCAACGCGAAGAACCUUACCUGGUCUUGACAUCCACGGAAGUUUUCAGAGAUGAGAAUGUGCCUUCGGGAACCGUGAGACAGGUGCUGCAUGGCUGUCGUCAGCUCGUGUUGUGAAAUGUUGGGUUAAGUCCCGCAACGAGCGCAACCCUUAUCCUUUGUUGCCAGCGGUCCGGCCGGGAACUCAAAGGAGACUGCCAGUGAUAAACUGGAGGAAGGUGGGGAUGACGUCAAGUCAUCAUGGCCCUUACGACCAGGGCUACACACGUGCUACAAUGGCGCAUACAAAGAGAAGCGACCUCGCGAGAGCAAGCGGACCUCAUAAAGUGCGUCGUAGUCCGGAUUGGAGUCUGCAACUCGACUCCAUGAAGUCGGAAUCGCUAGUAAUCGUGGAUCAGAAUGCCACGGUGAAUACGUUCCCGGGCCUUGUACACACCGCCCGUCACACCAUGGGAGUGGGUUGCAAAAGAAGUAGGUAGCUUAACCUUCGGGAGGGCGCUUACCACUUUGUGAUUCAUGACUGGGGUGAAGUCGUAACAAGGUAACCGUAGGGGAACCUGCGGUUGGAUCACCUCCUUA